RNAcentral lists this ribosomal RNA (301 nucleotides) under uncultured bacterium. RNAcentral's name for it is "partial 16S ribosomal RNA". It matches the Rfam family "Bacterial small subunit ribosomal RNA", at positions 509 to 807 of the family's 1533-position model. The record is from RNAcentral.
CAGUAGCCACGGGAAUACAGAGGGUGCGAGCGUUAAUCGGAUUUACUGGGCGUAAAGCGUGCGUAGGCGGCUUUUUAAGUCGGAUGUGAAAUCCCUGAGCUUAACUUAGGAAUUGCAUUCGAUACUGGGAAGCUAGAGUAUGGGAGAGGAUGGUAGAAUUCCAGGUGUAGCGGUGAAAUGCGUAGAGAUCUGGAGGAAUACCGAUGGCGAAGGCAGCCAUCUGGCCUAAUACUGACGCUGAGGUACGAAAGCAUGGGGAGCAAACAGGAUUAGAUACCCGCGUAGUCCCUGUCUCUUAUAC